GCCCGGUCUGAAGGUAGUGAGUUAUCUCAACUGAUUGUUCACCAUUACAGAUGGAACUCCUUGUUGUAGUCUCUUCCUGUUUCUCACUACUGCACCCAGCUGGUCUUUU
Molecule: unclassified non-coding RNA, 109 nt
Organism: Aotus nancymaae (Ma's night monkey)
Lineage: Eukaryota; Metazoa; Chordata; Mammalia; Primates; Aotidae
Rfam family: Y RNA
About the family: Y RNAs are components of the Ro ribonucleoprotein particle (Ro RNP), in association with Ro60 and La proteins. The Y RNAs and Ro60 and La proteins are well conserved, but the function of the Ro RNP is not known.
Source: Ensembl